AUUGAACGCUGGCGGCAGGCCUAACACAUGCAAGUCGAACGAGUGGCGGACGGGUGAGUAAUGUCUGGGAAACUGCCUGAUGGAGGGGGAUAACUACUGGAAACGGUAGCUAAUACCGCAUACCAUCAGAUGUGCCCAGAUGGGAUUAGAUAGUUGGUGGGGUAACAGCUCACAAUGGAGACGAUCCUUAGCUGGUCUGAAGGGAUGACCAGCAACACUGGAACUGAGACACAGUCCAGACUCAUCCAGGAGGCAGCAGUGGGGAAUAUUGCACAAGGGGCGAAAGCCUGAUGCAGCCAUGCCGCGUGUAUGAUGAAGGCCUUCGGGUUGUAAAGUACUUUCAGCGGGGAGGCGUUACCCGCAGAAGAAGCACCGGCUAACUCCGUGCCAGCAGCCGCGGUAAUUC
This 406-nucleotide ribosomal RNA is filed under the name uncultured bacterium. RNAcentral describes it as "partial 16S ribosomal RNA". It matches the Rfam family "Bacterial small subunit ribosomal RNA", at positions 30 to 526 of the family's 1533-position model. The record is from RNAcentral.